GGGCUUGACAUCCCACGAACCUGCCCGAAAAGGUGGGGUGCCCGCAAGGGAGCGUGGAGACAGGUGGUGCAUGGCUGUCGUCAGCUCGUGUCGUGAGAUGUUGGGUUAAGUCCCGCAACGAGCGCAUCCCUCACCCCUAGUUGCCACCGGGUUAAGCCGAGCACUCAAGGGGAACUGCCAGCGUCAAGCUGGAGGAAGGCGGGGAUGACGUCAAGUCAUCAUGCCCCUUACGCCCUGGGCUACACACGUGCUACAAUGGCCAGUACAAAGGGACGCGAGACUGCGAAGUGGAGCUAAUCCCAAAAAGCUGGUCUAAGUUCAGAUUGCAGUCUGCAACUCGACUGCAUGAAGGAGGAAUCGCUAGUAAUCGCGUAUCAGCCCGGCGCGGUGAAUACGUUCCCGGGCCUUGUACACACCGCCCGUCACACCACGAAAGCUGUCUGUACUCGAAGUCGCUGAG
Molecule: ribosomal RNA, 460 nt
Filed under: uncultured Methylomirabilota bacterium
Lineage: Bacteria; Methylomirabilota (SeqCode)
Description: bacterial SSU rRNA
Rfam family: Bacterial small subunit ribosomal RNA
Source: RNAcentral